Vicia villosa (hairy vetch) is the source of this 997-nucleotide long non-coding RNA. RefSeq lists it as uncharacterized. The transcript is spliced from 3 exons. Lineage: Eukaryota; Viridiplantae; Streptophyta; Magnoliopsida; Fabales; Fabaceae. The record is from RefSeq and is a predicted model, not a curated record.
CACACUUUAAAAUCAUGACCUUUUAGAUUGUUACAUAUGCCAAUACAAACCAAACUCUAGCCGCCUAGCCUCCAAAGUGUCUCGGUUUCAUCCUUCUAUAUCAUUUAAACCAUUAAAAUCUUUUAAUUAUUACAGUACCAUUUAGCAUAGAAACUUAAGAUAUGGAUUAAAUAAAUCAUCUUUACGUGUUCCAAAACAUAAUCUCUACAUUCCAACAUUUUAAAAUAAAUAGUAAGCAACAAUUACACAAUCUCUUUAAGAUGGCUUUCUCAUACUAUAAAAUUCACGGUCCCUAUAAAAUCAUCGUUAACCCAGAGAUUGAGAAAGGUUCGAAGGUUAUCGCUGAAGUUAUCGCUGAAGAAUCUAUUUGUAGGAUCAAUCGCAAUCGCAACUUUCAUCCCUAUCAGAACCGUCGAAAACCCUUUGGUGAAAUCCACCUCAAAUGUUCACAGGAAUGAACAGGCUCCACUUGAGAGCAUAGUCACGAGAAGAUCGUGUGGCGUGGAUGGAAGCUUUGCAAGUGGUGAAAGAUAUGUUUCCUUAAAUUUUCAACAGUGAAUUGAUUGCUCUGGGGGACAACAUAACAAUUUCAACGGAGAAAUCGGCUUCUGGAAGAGGGAGUGGGUGAAGCAGCUAUUCAAGCCAGUGAACAAAUUAUGAGAAAUGAAUUGGUCAAUGGUGACUAUUAGUUUCAUCCAGAAUUCCAGAUCCUGAAGUUGGCCUAACACAAUUAUGGGUAGAAAUAUCUUCUAGGUGACUAUUAGUUUCAAUCGAAUCCAGUUGGCCUAACACAAUUAUGGGGUAGAAAUAUCUUCUAAGUAAUGUUUCAUUAUAUGAAUUCUUGCAGUUGGCCAAAUUUGAAAACUACUGGUAUAUUAAUGUUCUUUUGUCUUUGUUUGAAAACUACUGGUAUAUUAAUGUUCUUUUGUCUUUGUUCAGCGCAAGUGCAGUUUUACUUAUGUUUCCAAUACAUUUCAAAUUAAUAAAAUAUAAUUGU